Non-coding RNA from Triticum aestivum (bread wheat), 133 nucleotides. The record is from Rfam. NCBI's taxonomy places the organism in Eukaryota, Viridiplantae, Streptophyta, Magnoliopsida, Poales, Poaceae.
CAAGUACUCUCUCCGUCCGGAAAUACUUAUCAUCAAACUGGUAAAAAUGAUGUAUCUAUAUGUAUUUUAGUUCUACAUACAUUUCUUUUUAUCCAUUUUGAUGACAAGUAUUUUCGGACGGAGGGAGUACAAG